GACGUAGGGCGCGAGCGUUGUCCGGAUUUAUUGGGCGUAAAGAGCUCGUAGGCGGUUUGGUAAGUUGGAUGUGAAAUCUCCAGGCUCAACUUGGAGGGGUCAUUCGAUACUGCCAUGACUAGAGUUCGGUAGGGGAGUGUGGAAUUCCUGGUGGAGCGGUGAAAUGCGCAGAUAUCAGGAGGAACACCCGUAGCGAAGGCGGCACUCUGGGCCGGAACUGACGCUGAGGAGCGAAAGCGUGGGGAGCGAACAGG
This 254-nucleotide ribosomal RNA is filed under the name uncultured bacterium. Its description in RNAcentral is "partial 16S ribosomal RNA". It matches the Rfam family "Bacterial small subunit ribosomal RNA", at positions 524 to 776 of the family's 1533-position model. The record is from RNAcentral.